UGAGGAAUAUUGGUCAAUGGGCGAGAGCCUGAACCAGCCAAGUCGCGUGAAGGAAGACAGUCCUAAGGAUUGUAAACUUCUUUUAUACGGGAAUAACGGGCGAUACGAGUAUUGCAUUGAAUGUACCGUAAGAAUAAGCAUCGGCUAACUCCGUGCCAGCAGCCGCGGUAAUACGGAGGACGCGAGCGUUAUCCGGAUUUAUUGGGUUUAAAGGGUGCGUAGGUUGUUCGGUAAGUCAGCGGUGAAACCUGAGCGCUCAACGUUCAGCCUGCCGUUGAAACUGCCGGGCUUGAGUUCAGUGGCGGCAGGCGGAAUUCGUGGUGUAGCGGUGAAAUGCAUAGAUAUCACGAGGAACUCCGAUUGCGAAGGCAGCUUGCCAUACUGCGACUGACACUGAAGCACGAAGGCGUGGGUAUCAAACAGGAUUAGAUACCCUGGUAGUCCACGCAGUAAACGAUGAUUACUAGGAGUUUGCGAUAUACCGUCAAGCUUCCACAGCGAAAGCGUUAAGUAAUCCACCUGGGGAGUACGCCGGCAACGGUG
Molecule: ribosomal RNA, 543 nt
Filed under: uncultured bacterium
Lineage: Bacteria
Description: bacterial SSU rRNA
Rfam family: Bacterial small subunit ribosomal RNA
Source: RNAcentral